Molecule: long non-coding RNA, 607 nt
Filed under: Bos mutus (wild yak)
Lineage: Eukaryota; Metazoa; Chordata; Mammalia; Artiodactyla; Bovidae
Description: lncRNA (ENSBMUG00000004097.1)
Source: RNAcentral
GUUGAAGAUUAAGAUUGAUUUAAGAUGUCAUUUGAUACAGUGUUUUAAAUCUAUGUUUUAAAUAAAGAUUAUUGUCUUUUAUCUAAAUAUUCUAAAUAAUUUUAACUAAACAUACAGAUUUGUCAGCAGAACUAGACUUAGAAAUGACAUCAGAGGAAGAAGAAGAAAAACCUGUUGGAGAUGAAAAUAACCAUUCCCAGGUUGAAGAAGAAAAGAAGAAGCACAAAAGUAGUGAAGUGGAAAUAUCAGACAAUGUAUGUGAUACUGCUGAUGAGAGUGGAUUGAUUCAGCAGAGAAAGAGUGGAGGAAACAGCAGUCAGGAGUUUGCUGCUAUGGAGAAUGAAGGUUCUGAUAGCGAUCCUGGCGUGCAUAGAAAGGAGUAAAGAAAAAGGACAAUAGCAAAUGGACACCAGAAGAAUGUGUGAUUGCACCAAUAUUUGAAAAGACCGAUUCACUGACUGGAGGUCUGCUGCAUGUUAAUGAUGACAGCAUUUUAGGUGAAGUGGAUCAGGAUGAUGACAGGUAAUAUCUACAAAUUUUUUAUUUCUAGAAGAAGAAAUAAGCACUGAAUACUUCUGGAAAUGGAGCAGCAUAAUAUAGUGUACGU